UACCUAAUAUCACCUGCUCCAACUUAAUGUGAAGCGUAAAAUAAAAUUCACAUAAAAUAACAACCGUAAAAUAAAAUCAUUCUAAAACAAAAACAACCUGGAUUGACUACGCCCAAAUAGCUAGAAAGUUGGACAAUAUUUCUACACUAGGCAUUUUUAUUUGUAUCUGCCCACACUGGAGUAUAAAAUCAUGGUAAAGGCGUAACGCGCACAGAGAUCAACGAGCCACGCGACUAAGCGGGGCGUUUGGCAUUAACAAUAUUGUAUAAAAAUAUCUCAUAAUAGGGCUAUCACUAUCCUGAGGGUCGCGGCUGCCACGCAGAAUGCUGGACAUCCUCCGCGCACCACAACAU
Molecule: long non-coding RNA, 353 nt
Organism: Cydia amplana
Lineage: Eukaryota; Metazoa; Arthropoda; Insecta; Lepidoptera; Tortricidae
Exons: 2
Source: RefSeq, a predicted model, not a curated record